Molecule: ribosomal RNA, 158 nt
Filed under: Coprinopsis neolagopus
Lineage: Eukaryota; Fungi; Basidiomycota; Agaricomycetes; Agaricales; Psathyrellaceae
Description: 5.8S ribosomal RNA
Rfam family: 5.8S ribosomal RNA
About the family: 5.8S ribosomal RNA (5.8S rRNA) is a component of the large subunit of the eukaryotic ribosome. It is transcribed by RNA polymerase I as part of the 45S precursor that also contains 18S and 28S rRNA. Functionally, it is thought that 5.8S rRNA may be involved in ribosome translocation.
Source: RNAcentral
ACAACUUUCAGCAACGGAUCUCUUGGCUCUCGCAUCGAUGAAGAACGCAGCGAAAUGCGAUAAGUAAUGUGAAUUGCAGAAUUCAGUGAAUCAUCGAAUCUUUGAACGCACCUUGCGCGCCUUGGUAUUCCGAGGAGCAUGCCUGUUUGAGUGUCAUU